Molecule: small RNA, 1171 nt
Filed under: Rattus norvegicus (Norway rat)
Lineage: Eukaryota; Metazoa; Chordata; Mammalia; Rodentia; Muridae
Description: uncharacterized LOC108350520
Source: RNAcentral
CAUCUUAUAAUAACUUAGUAGAGCAUGGUGAAGCCUAACAGAUCAGAACUAACAGGCCACUGCUGCUCUAAGAGGUUGCCCUCUGCCUCAGACUUUCUGCUAAUCAUUCUCAUGUUUUUACUUCCUUAUGUUUACGUCCUUGGUGGACGUGGAUGUUGUCAAACCCUGUGUCUUCUGAGGCUUGGAUGGAUGGUCACAAGGUGGAGUGAAGGCACUCUUGGGACUACAUGUUACAUCAGAGGUCAUCUUCCUCUCUCUAGCCAAUCCUAGGGAUGACAUCCCCACCUCCGAAAUGGGUUCGCUGUGUGCCAAGCAUACUGGUAGGAAGGGUUUUGUUCCUGGAAUUCGGGAAGGCUGCCCAGUUUGCUGAAGUGAGCAGAAAGUCUUCACAGGGUGAGCAUCUACAUCUUUGCACCAUGUGCGUGUCUGGUGCCUGAGGAGUCCCAGAAGAGGACACUGGAUCCCCUGGAGCUGGGCUUACAGAUCAUUGUGAGCCACCCCGUGAAUGCAGGGAAUAGAACCUGGGACCUCUGGAGGAGCUGCCGCUGCUCUUAACCACCGUGCUAUUUCUCCACAUCCUCUUCUAUCUUUGUCAGUCAAUGUUACCAUCAAACGGAGAUGAGACCCAGUUUCACUAAGAACACUAAGCCCAAUGCUCCCAUCAGGUGUAAAUGACUAAAUCUGUACAUAAAACUUUACACCUUGUGAUGGUUAGAUCACAAAGUAGGCGCCCCGAGAUGGCGGUGCAGACCUAAGACGGCUCCCUGAGCCUACCUGGGGCAGAUGGCCACGAGUAAAUAGAAACUUAACCACCAGCAUUUCUCAGAAACCCUGUGACUCAGGGAUUUUGGCUUUCAGAUAACUGCAAUUUCCAAGGUCCCCCUCCCCUAAAUGGCCACCUACCACAGGCAAAAGGACAUUUGAUACUCAUAAAGUGGCCUCAUUGCAAUCAGGCACAGACCCUUUCCAGUAGGCUUGACCUGGGGAUCUUGUUCUAUCCAAGAUAGGAAAAAAAAAAUGUGAGAGGGAAGGAUCUGCUCUUAAGCCUUCAGAAGCCCUGCAAAGCCUACCCGUUCUCCUGGCCGGGCUGCUUGCUGUUCACUACCUUUGUGAGACAGCUCAGCAGUUGUUUCUCCAAUAAACUUUUUCUUCCCCCGUGCACAGAGUUGUC